This 285-nucleotide signal recognition particle RNA is filed under the name Myotis davidii. RNAcentral's name for it is "Metazoan signal recognition particle RNA". It matches the Rfam family "Metazoan signal recognition particle RNA". From Rfam's summary of the family: The signal recognition particle (SRP) is a universally conserved ribonucleoprotein. It is involved in the co-translational targeting of proteins to membranes. Lineage: Eukaryota; Metazoa; Chordata; Mammalia; Chiroptera; Vespertilionidae. The record is from Rfam by way of RNAcentral.
GCUGGGCACGGAGCUGCAUGCCUGUAGUCCCAGCUGAGGAAGGAGGAUUGCUUGAGCCCAGGAGUUCUGGGCUGUAGUGCACUAUGCCGAUCAGCUGACAACAGUAAGUUUGGCAUCGAUAUGGUGACCUGGGAGCUGGGGACCCCCAGGUUGCCUAAGGAGGGGUAAAUGGUCCCAGGUUGGAAAUGGAGCAGGUCAAAGCUCCCAUGCUGAUCAGUAGUGGGAUUGCACCUAUGAAUAGUCACUGCACUCGAGCCUGGGCAACAUAGUGAGACCAUGUCUCUU